CCUGCACGACGCCUCGGCUGCUGCACCUGCGCCCGUCAGCACCGCGCCCGCCACCAAGACCAGCCGCUGCGCCAAGGGCGGCCCCCUGAGCCCGCGCAAGGACGCCGGGCGUGCAAAGGACAGGAAGGACCCCAGGAAGAAGAAGAAAGGGAAAGAGUCUGGGCCAGGAGCUGGGCUGCCGCCGCCCCGAGCUCCUGCCUUGCCCUCUGAGGCCAGGGCUCCUCACGCCAGCUCCCUGACCGCUGCCAAAAGGAGCAAAGCCAAGGCCAAAGGGAAGGAGGUGAAGAAGGAGAACCGCGGCAAGGGGGGUGCCGUGAGCAAGCUGAUGGAGAGCAUGGCAGCCGAGGAGGACUUUGAACCCAACCAAGACUCGAGCUUCUCUGAGGACGAGCACCUGCCGCGUGGCGGGGCUGUGGAGCGGCCGCUGACCCCGGCCCCUCGCUCCUGCAUCAUCGACAAGGAUGAGCUGAAGGACGGCCUGCGUGUGCUCAUCCCCAUGGACGACAAGCUGCUGUACGCCGGGCACGUGCAGACCGUGCACUCGCCAGACAUAUACCGCGUGGUGGUGGAGGGUGAGCGGGGCAACCGGCCCCACAUCUACUGUCUGGAGCAGUUGCUGCAGGAGGCGAUCAUCGAUGUGAGGCCAGCCUCCACUCGCUUCUUGCCACAAGGGACCAGGAUUGCAGCCUACUGGAGCCAGCAGUACCGCUGUCUCUACCCAGGCACUGUGGUCCGAGGUGAGAUGCCUCCUCCCCAGCUCUCCCCUGCCGCCUAACAUCUCAGUAUGGACUUGUUUGGCUACUAAAACUCAACUCUAACUGGCUUAAGAAUAAAGACUUGUGGGCUCACAUAACUGAAAACUGUAUGGCCUUCAGGCAUGAUUGGAUCCAGGCACCAUUUAAACGAUGUCAUCAGGACUCCAGCUCUGAGUAUCUGUCAGCAGUGCUGUCAUCUGUGCUGGCUUCACACUAGCUCCUUGGAGACUGUAUUUUACCAUCUUAAGAAAUCUUAUCAUUGGAGGAUUUCUCAGUCUCGGUUUUCCCACACAAGUUCUACUGUGAACUGACUUGGGCCACAUGGUUUUCAUUGAUCCUACCGCUGUGAGUCUGAUUGACCGGGCCUGGGUCAGAUUCUCAUCCCUGGGGCUAAGGAGUGAGGUCACCUCCCUUUUAUUCGUGGGCUGAGAAAGAUGGGAGGGUGGCUUCCCCUGCAGAGUGGACAUGUUGUUAGAAUAAGAGAGAAUGAGGCUGGAUGUGGUGGCUCACGCCUGUAAUCCCAGCACUUUGGGAGGCCGAGGUGGGUGGAUCACUUGAGGUCAGGAGUUCAAGACCAGAUUGGGCAACGUGGUAAAACCCCGUCUCUACUAAAAAUACAAAAAUUAGCUGGGCGUGGUGGCAGGUGCCUGUAAUCCCAGCUACUUGGGAGGCUGAGGCAGGAGAAUCACUCAAACCUGGGAAGUGGAGGUUGCAGUGAGCCAGGAUUGCACCACUGCACUCUAGCCUGGGUGACAGAGUGAGACUGCGUCUCAAAAAAAGAAAAAGAAUGGAGGCUGGAUGGAGAAAAGCAACAGGUACCCUAGGAAAUGUAGGUGUGGAUAUCAGACAGGCAAGAAAGACAGUCAAAUGGUCCAACCCUUAGCUUUUGCAAAAGCAAUGUAUCCUAGAGAGGGGGUAUGGAUGUGGAUUAGACAUACCCCGCCCGUGCAAAAAAAAGCCCACUCAUAUGCCAAAUACAGUCCACUGCUUGGCCUACCAUCCAUUCAUACCCAGAAGAUGGAAGCCAGUGCCAGCUCAGCAAAACAACAGAUGAGUGGUCCAGCCUGAGUAGAGGAUCUCAGGCCAGGAAGACUUAGUUUUUUCCAUCAUAUUAGUCACUCAUUUAUCAUCCAAAUUCUGAAAGUGCUGUUAAUAAGGCAGAAGUUGGCUUUAGAUUCGGAUUUCCUGGCACAUGCUGUCCCCCUGUACUGGGAGGUGCUGGCUGUGUUCUAGGCCUGUCUCAUGGGUAUCAUUCUGGAUUCUUGGGCCUUCCCUGUCCCUCAUCCUGGGAACCGCUUUUGUUGCGUUGCAUGUUUUUCUCUUUUUUGGUUCAGUUCCUUGUUUUAAGCAGUGGAUCUUUCAGUAGCUUUCUGAGGAAGAGUCUGUGGGAGUUAAAUUUCUCACAUCCUUGUAUGUUUGUAAUCGCUUCAUUCUACCCUGAUUUUUUAGAGAUAGCUGAGCUGGGUACCCUUAUUCUUUAGAGAUAGUUGAGCUGGGUAUAAAUUCGUGACUGGAAAUAGUUCCCCUCACCAUUUCAAAGACAUUUUUCUAUUUUUAUCUUGCUUCCCAUGUUGAAGACAUUCAAAAUUGUGAUUCCAAAAUCAUUGUAGGAGACCUGCUUUUUUAUCUCUGGAAACUUUUAGGAUCUUCUCAUUAUCCCUAGAUCUGGAAUUCUGUGUGUGUGUGUGUGUGUGUGUGUGUGUGUGUGUGUGUGUGUGUGUGUGUCUCUAU
Molecule: long non-coding RNA, 2486 nt
Filed under: Pan paniscus (pygmy chimpanzee)
Lineage: Eukaryota; Metazoa; Chordata; Mammalia; Primates; Hominidae
Description: lncRNA (ENSPPAG00000045320.1)
Source: RNAcentral